UACAGAGGUCUCAAGCGUUGUUCGGAUUCAUUGGGCGUAAAGGGCGCGUAGGCGGAUAGUACAGUCAGGCGUGAAAUUCCUGGGCUCAACCUGGGGGCUGCGUUUGAUACGUGUUGUCUGGAGUUCGGAAGAGGGUCGUGGAAUUCCCAGUGUAGAGGUGAAAUUCGUAGAUAUUGGGAAGAACACCGGUGGCGAAGGCGGCGACCUGGGCCGAUACUGACGCUGAGGAGCGAAAGCGUGGGGAGCAAACAGG
This 253-nucleotide ribosomal RNA is filed under the name uncultured bacterium. Its description in RNAcentral is "partial 16S ribosomal RNA". It matches the Rfam family "Bacterial small subunit ribosomal RNA", at positions 524 to 776 of the family's 1533-position model. The record is from RNAcentral.